GAAUGUAUGAGAAUACUACUUGGAUAACCGUAGUAAUUCUAGAGCUAAUACAUGCAACGACGCCCGACCGUUUCACUACGGAAGGGCUGUAUUUAUUGGAUACCAAAACCAUCCUUCCCUCGGGAAGUUUUGUUUGAUGAUUCACAAUAACUGAUCGGAUCGCCACUGUGGUGGCGACAGGUCAUUCAACAUUCUGCCCUAUCAGCUUUCGAUGGUUGUGUAGUGGACAACCAUGGCCAUAACGGGUAACGGAGAAUCAGGGUUCGAUUCCGGAGAAGGAGCUUGAGAAUUGGCUACUACAUCUAAGGAAGGUAGCAGGCGCGCAAAUUACCCAAUCCCGAUUCGGGGAGGUAGUGACAAAAAAUAACAAUACCGGGCCUUUUUGGGCUUGGUAAUUGGAAUGAGGGAGAGUUAAACGGACCAUCGAGUAUCCAUUGGAGGGCAAGUCUGGUGCCAGCAGCUGCGGUAAUACCAGCUCCAAUAGCGUAUAUUAAAGUUGUUGCAGUUAAAAAGCUCGUAGUUGGACUUGUGUGCGCUGUCCGCGGGUGGCCUGCGCCCAAAAGGGCGUUUCGGUUCGGCCCCGGUGGCGCCUUGAAAUCUGCAGCUGGGGGGACGUUGGCCUUAACUGGUCGGCGACCGCACGCCGGCUGCUCGGUUACUGUGAGAAAAUUAGAGUGUUCAAGGCAGGCAUUGGGUGCAAUUGAAUACAUUAGCAUGGAAUAAUAAAAUAUGGCUCCUGCCGUAUUUUGUUGGUUUUGACUGGUGGGAGUAAUGAUUGAUAGGGACGGUUGGGGGUGCUAGUAUUGAGCGGCCAGAGGUGAAAUUCAUGGAUUCGCUCAAGACUAACUUAUGCGAAAGCGUUCACCAAGGACGUCCUCUUUAAUCAAGAACGAAAGUUGGGGGAUCGAAGACGAUCAGAUACCGUCGUAGUCUCAACCAUAAACUAUGUCGACUUGGGAUCGGCGGUAGUUUUAUCAUUAAGACACUGUCGGGACCACGGGAGAAAUCAAAGUGUCUGGACUCUGGGGGAAGUAUGGUCGCAAGGCUGAAACUUGAAGGAAUUGACGGAAGGGCACCACCAGGAGUGGAGCCUGCGGCUUAAUUUGACCCAACACGGGGAAACUUACCAGGUCCAGAGAUGUAGAGGAUUGACAGAUUGAAGCUCUUUCUUGAUCACUUCGGUGGUGGUGCAUGGCCGUUCUUAGUUGGUGGAGUGAUUUGUCUGGUUAAUUCCGUUAACGAACGAGACCUCAGCCUGCUAGUGUAGUCGGCUGG
RNAcentral lists this ribosomal RNA (1275 nucleotides) under metagenome. Its description in RNAcentral is "SSU rRNA". It matches the Rfam family "Eukaryotic small subunit ribosomal RNA", at positions 119 to 1366 of the family's 1831-position model. The record is from RNAcentral.